Long non-coding RNA from Chelonia mydas (Green sea turtle), 1310 nucleotides. RefSeq lists it as uncharacterized. Lineage: Eukaryota; Metazoa; Chordata; Testudines; Cheloniidae. The record is from RefSeq and is a predicted model, not a curated record. The transcript has 5 exons.
AGAGCUAGGUGAAAGAAGCUGGAGAAGGAAGCAUUGCUGUAUCCUGAGUCCUCUGCUCCCCACCUACCUGUGCAGGAGGGGAAGGCUGGUCACAUGGGUACUCCUCUGCAUGGGAAAGUGUACCAGAUGCAAAGCUGAGACUCCCCAGAGAUAAUCUGGUACCUCAAAGACUUUUGGGAAACUGGCAGUUUCUUGCGUCACUGUCAUCAUUUGGAAUUACAAACUUGACGUGGACAAUGGCUGCCAUAAUAUGGGCCUGAAUAUGAGAAGUCCGGAAUACCUAAGUCAGAACAAAGUCUUCAACAGGUUUUACAGGAAACCAGGGCAUCUACAUAAAUUUGCUUUAGCUAUUGCUGCACUCUAAAUGGAAGGGAGGGUCAGGCAGAAUAUACAAGCACAGAAACACUCAGAUGAGAGAAGCUGAAGAGAACUUUAUCGCAAUAAGACUGAAACGGACAUUUACAGUAACUUUCUCCUUCUUUCAUAUGCGCCACAAGUUAAUAUCUGCAUUGUUCAGACAUCUUACUGCUGUAUCACUGAGUGUAGCAAGAUGCUGCAGUCCAGCCUCCUAUCCUCCACCCCAUGUCUGACCAUCAGCAUCGCUGACCCGUAGUCAUGCUAUGAAGAUUGGGCUAAGCCAAAUUUCUGCAUUGUGACAGCCACUCUGGCUGGUCCAGUCAACAGCCUGGUAAACCCAGUCCAGAGUCUUCAUCCCAGGUUGAAAACAGGUGGGUGUAAGUAAGGGGUUCUGAAGUUCAUCAACAUUCCUGUCUCUCUAUCCCAGGACUGCUGCCACUCUGCAAGGACAUAGUUAUUAAACCUGAUAUACCAUUGUUCGUCUGAGCUUAACACUACACUGGGAGCGCUGGACAUGAACUUAUGAACAGCAACUGCAAAAGGAUGUGACAAAGGCAGUCAUAGCAAGUCAGCAGGAACUGCAGGUGUAACUUCUCUAGACGUGCCUUAAGUCUUGUCCAUGGCUAUGUAAUGCCAUGGGGUCUUUACAAAGUCAUGGCCUGUUCAAGGCUGUGAACACCAGUGGAUCUUAGCACUGGUAUUUUCAAAAACACUACAGAGGUCCCUAAUUCUGCUCCUAUUGAACUCUAUAAUUACUAUUCAAAGGGAACAAAGCCAACGCUCAGAGCAAAACUCCCACACUCAAUGAUGAGGAGCUUCCUCUGAUAGAAAAAUGUGCAAUCCGGUGAUUUAAAAUGUGUCGGGUGAAUUUAGUGAAUAUUUAGUGAAAAUUUAGUGAAUAUUGCUACCCCCUAAUGGAAUUACUCGUGCAGCUGAAGUGGCAGAAGCCAUGC